This 1135-nucleotide small RNA is filed under the name Sordariomycetidae sp. TK01. RNAcentral describes it as "eukaryotic LSU rRNA". The stretch from base 439 to 1135 matches the Rfam family "Eukaryotic large subunit ribosomal RNA", at positions 1 to 804 of the family's 3401-position model. Lineage: Eukaryota; Fungi; Ascomycota; Sordariomycetes. The record is from RNAcentral.
CCAUUGUGAACCUUACCCCCGUACGCGUUGCUUCGGCGGGCGUCCCCUUCUACCGGAGGGGACGCGGCCCCUCGGGGUGCCCGCCGGCGGCCGACCAAACUCUUGAUAUCCCAGUGGACUCUCUGAGAAAACAAACCAAUAAGUUAAAACUUGCAACAACGGAUCUCUUGGUUCUGGCAUCGAUGAAGAACGCAGCGAAAUGCGAAAAGUAAUGUGAAUUGCAGAAUUCAGUGAAUCAUCGAAUCUUUGAACGCACAUUGCGCCCGCCAGUAUUCUGGCGGGCAUGCCUGUCCGAGCGUCAUUUCAACCCUCAAGCCCCGCUUGGUGUUGGGGUCCUACGGCUGCCGUAGGCCCUGAAAGCUAGUGGCGGGCUCGCUACCACUCCGAGCGCAGUAACGCAUCUCGCUAGGGACGUGUGUGGCGGGUUCCGGCCGUGAAACCCCCCCAUCUCGGCGAGUGAAGCGGCAACAGCUCAAAUUUGAAAUCUGGCCUCGGCCCGAGUUGUAAUUUGCAGAGGAUGCUUUUGGGUGCGGUGCCUUCUGAGUUCCCUGGAACGGGACGCCGGAGAGGGUGAGAGCCCCGUACAGUUGGACACCAAGCCCUUGUAAAGCUCCUUCGACGAGUCGAGUAGUUUGGGAAUGCUGCUCUAAAUGGGAGGUAUAUCUCUUCUAAAGCUAAAUAUAGGCCAGAGACCGAUAGCGCACAAGUAGAGUGAUCGAAAGAUGAAAAGCACUUUGAAAAGAGGGUUAAAAAGUACGUGAAAUUGUUGCAAGGGAACGGCUUGUGACCAGACUUGCGCCGGGCUGAUCAUCCGCGGUUCUCCGCGGUGCACUCGGCCCGGCGCAGGCCAGCGUCGGUUCUAGCAGGGGGACAAAAGCUUGGGGAACGUGGCUCCUCCGGGAGUGUUAUAGCCCCUCGCCGAAUGCCCCUGCCGGGACCGAGGUCUGCGCUCCGGCAAGGACGCUGGCGUAAUGGUCACCAGCCACCCGUCUUGAAACACGGACCAAGGAGUCGAGGUUUUGCGCGAGUGUUUGGGUGUCAAACCCGCACGCGUAAUGAAAGUGAACGUAGGUGAGAGCUUCGGCGCAUCAUCGACCGAUCCUGAUGUAUUCGGAUGGAUUUGAGUAAGAGCGUA